This 355-nucleotide unclassified non-coding RNA is filed under the name Hevea brasiliensis (rubber tree). Lineage: Eukaryota; Viridiplantae; Streptophyta; Magnoliopsida; Malpighiales; Euphorbiaceae. The record is from RNAcentral.
UUCCACUGACCGCAGCAAGACGUUCUUCCAUUCCAGCUCGUACACCGCGAACCCCAUUGCUUGCGCGGCCGCGCUGGCCAAUCUGGAAAUCUGGCAGAGCGAGCCGGUGAUGGACCGCAUCAAUUCGCUUGCGGCGAUGCAUAAAGAGCGGCUCGCGCGGUUUCGCGGCGACCGGCGUUUCGCGGACGUCCGCCAGAUCGGAACCAUCGCCGCGCUCGACAUCGUGGCGAAAGAUGCCGGCUAUCUGGCCGACAUCGGCCCGCGGCUUUAUCGCGGAUUUCUCGCGCGCGGCCUGCUGAUACGGCCGCUCGGCAACACGGUCUAUCUGAUGCCGCCCUAUAGCACCACGGCGAGC